RNAcentral lists this small nuclear RNA (120 nucleotides) under Patiria miniata (bat star). Its description in RNAcentral is "U5 spliceosomal RNA". It matches the Rfam family "U5 spliceosomal RNA". From Rfam's summary of the family: U5 RNA is a component of both types of known spliceosome. The precise function of this molecule is unknown, though it is known that the 5' loop is required for splice site selection and p220 binding, and that both the 3' stem-loop and the Sm site are important for Sm protein binding and cap methylation. The record is from Rfam by way of RNAcentral. Lineage: Eukaryota; Metazoa; Echinodermata; Asteroidea; Valvatida; Asterinidae.
UCACUCUGGUUUCUCUGCAUUCGCAUAAAUCUUUCGCCUUUUACUAAAGAUUUCCGUGCAGAGGAACAAUUUAAUGAGUCUAUAGACUAAUUUUUUGCUGCCCAAUCGAAAGAUUGGGCU